GAUGGGCCUGCGUCUGAUUAGUUAGUUGGUGGGGUAACGGCCUACCAAGACAACGAUCAGUAGCCGACCUGAGAGGGUGAUCGGCCACAUUGGAACUGAGACACGGUCCAAACUCCUACGGGAGGCAGCAGUGGGGAAUAUUGCACAAUGGGCGAAAGCCUGAUGCAGCAACGCCGCGUGAGCGAUGAAGGCCUUUGGGUCGUAAAGCUCUGUCCUUGGGGAAGAAACAAAUGACGGUACCCAUGGAGGAAGCCCCGGCUAACUACGUGCCAGCAGCCGCGGUAAUACGUAGGGGGCAAGCGUUAUCCGGAAUUAUUGGGCGUAAAGAGUACGUAGGUGGUUUCUUAAGCGCAGGGUUUAAGGCAAUGGCUUAACCAUUGUUCGCCCUGUGAACUGGGAGACUUGAGUGCAGGAGAGGAAAGUGGAAUUCCUAGUGUAGCGGUGAAAUGCGUAGAUAUUAGGAGGAACACCAGUGGCGAAGGCGACUUUCUGGACUGUAACUGACACUGAGGUACGAAAGCGUGGGGAGCAAACAGGAUUAGAUACCCUGGUAGUCCACGCCGUAAA
Molecule: ribosomal RNA, 567 nt
Filed under: uncultured bacterium
Lineage: Bacteria
Description: bacterial SSU rRNA
Rfam family: Bacterial small subunit ribosomal RNA
Source: RNAcentral